CGAUUUAAGUGUCGUAGAAACAACAAUUGGUCAGUACAAAUUCCUACUAAAUAAGCUGGCGACACGAAUUUCGGAUCGGAGGGAGUACAAAAAAACGUUUCUUCAGAAUGACCCAAUUUGGAGCAUUUCAAUUUCAGCGCGGCAGAAGAAUUUAACAUGCAAGAUCGCUUACCUCAACGAGAUAAGAAGAAACCACACCGCUCGGCCGACUAGUGCUGCACAACAGCUAGGGAGAAACACUCGAGACUAAGGGGCCCUUUGGAGUCUCUCCACUCUCCAACUCCACGCCGGAGCGGAGCAGGAUCUAGUUUUAAUUUGAGGAGUGGCUGGAAGGCCGCUUCGCAGGCUCCGCUCUGUGGCGAUUUGCCGAACUGGGCCUAAGCUAGCUUCCGGGGAAGUCAC
Molecule: long non-coding RNA, 402 nt
Filed under: Triticum aestivum (bread wheat)
Lineage: Eukaryota; Viridiplantae; Streptophyta; Magnoliopsida; Poales; Poaceae
Description: long non-coding RNA (TAES_LNC019832)
Source: RNAcentral